This 521-nucleotide ribosomal RNA is filed under the name fungal sp. DS70. Its description in RNAcentral is "eukaryotic LSU rRNA". The stretch from base 150 to 303 matches the Rfam family "5.8S ribosomal RNA". Lineage: Eukaryota; Fungi. The record is from RNAcentral.
UGUCUAUCGUACCUUGUUGCUUCGGCGGGCCCGCCGUUUCGACGGCCGCCGGGGAGGCCUUGCGCCCCCGGGCCCGCGCCCGCCGAAGACCCCAACAUGAACGCUGUUCUGAAAGUAUGCAGUCUGAGUUGAUUAUCGUAAUCAGUUAAAACUUUCAACAACGGAUCUCUUGGUUCCGGCAUCGAUGAAGAACGCAGCGAAAUGCGAUAAGUAAUGUGAAUUGCAGAAUUCAGUGAAUCAUCGAGUCUUUGAACGCACAUUGCGCCCCCUGGUAUUCCGGGGGGCAUGCCUGUCCGAGCGUCAUUGCUGCCCUCAAGCACGGCUUGUGUGUUGGGCCCCCGUCCCCCUCUCCCGGGGGACGGGCCCGAAAGGCAGCGGCGGCACCGCGUCCGGUCCUCGAGCGUAUGGGGCUUUGUCACCUGCUCUGUAGGCCCGGCCGGCGCCAGCCGACACCCAACUUUAUUUUUCUAAGGUUGACCUCGGAUCAGGUAGGGAUACCCGCUGAACUUAAGCAUAUCAAA